UUCAAUAUCAAACUUAACAUUUGAUGUGCACUUUUCUCUUAGUAAGACGCCGUGAUCCAUUAGAAAUUGGUAAAUGUCAAUUUACAUGAGGUCAUCAAUGGGCUCGUAUGAAGUUUAUUGGAACAAAUGGCAUAAUCUUUCAACGGUUGUGUGUAUUGUCUGGUAAGCAUGCGAUGUCUCGUAAUGACUGUCUGAUGGAUUUUAAAGAUUAUAUUAUUGAUGUUACGGCAUCACUUGCUUUUGCAAGAUUUUGAUAUAUAUCCGAUCAACGGUGGUUAAAUUUGGGAUACCUUUUGGACCCGUCUUGAAACACGGACCAAGGAGUCUAUCUAAUGUGCGAGUAAAUGGGUAAUUAUGAAACCUAUUUGCGUAAUAAACGUAACUGAUUUUAUGGGAUUACAAGAAUUUUCGUUUACGCGUUAUUCUUUUCCAUCCCGGAGUACUUUUAUCAACAUAUACGCAAGUAUAUGGAAAGUAUAUCAUGAGCAUAUUGGAUACGACCCGAAAGAUGGUGAACUAUGCCUGAUCAGGUCGAAGUCAGGGGAAACCCUGAUGGAGGACCGAAGCAGUUCUGACGUGCAAAUCG
This 586-nucleotide ribosomal RNA is filed under the name Paratanytarsus sp. 1 SRM-2010. RNAcentral describes it as "eukaryotic LSU rRNA". It matches the Rfam family "Eukaryotic large subunit ribosomal RNA", at positions 451 to 900 of the family's 3401-position model. The record is from RNAcentral. Lineage: Eukaryota; Metazoa; Arthropoda; Insecta; Diptera; Chironomidae.